Molecule: ribosomal RNA, 253 nt
Filed under: uncultured bacterium
Lineage: Bacteria
Description: partial 16S ribosomal RNA
Rfam family: Bacterial small subunit ribosomal RNA
Source: RNAcentral
UACGUAGGGUGCGAGCGUUGUCCGGAAUUACUGGGCGUAAAGAGCUCGUAGGUGGUUUGUCGCGUUGUCCGUGAAAACUCACAACUCAAUUGUGGGCCUGCAUUCGAUACGGGCAGACUAGAGUUCGGUAGGGGAGUCUGGAAUUCCUGGUGUAGCGGUGAAAUGCGCAGAUAUCAGGAGGAACACCGGUGGCGAAGGCGGGACUCUGGGCCGAUACUGACGCUGAGGAGCGAAAGCGUGGGGAGCAAACAGG